RNAcentral lists this ribosomal RNA (253 nucleotides) under uncultured bacterium. RNAcentral's name for it is "partial 16S ribosomal RNA". It matches the Rfam family "Bacterial small subunit ribosomal RNA", at positions 524 to 776 of the family's 1533-position model. The record is from RNAcentral.
UACGGAGGGUGCAAGCGUUAUUCGGAAUUACUGGGCGUAAAGGGCGUGUAGGCGGCUUGUUAAGUCUGGUGUGAAAUCCCACGACUCAAUCGUGGAAGUGCAUUGGAUACUGGCGGGCUAGAGUACAGGAGAGGAGGGUGGAAUUCCUGGUGUAGAGGUGAAAUUCGUAGAUAUCAGGAGGAACAACAGUGGCGAAGGCGGCUCUCUGGACUGUAACUGACGCUGAGACGCGAAAGCGUGGGGAGCAAACAGG